This 388-nucleotide ribosomal RNA is filed under the name Rothia dentocariosa. Its description in RNAcentral is "bacterial SSU rRNA". It matches the Rfam family "Bacterial small subunit ribosomal RNA", at positions 103 to 501 of the family's 1533-position model. The record is from RNAcentral. Lineage: Bacteria; Bacillati; Actinomycetota; Actinomycetes; Micrococcales; Micrococcaceae.
CGGGUGAGUAAUACGGAGUGACCUACCUUUGACUCUGGGAUAAGCCUGGGAAACUGGGUCUAAUACCGGAUACGACCAAUCUCCGCAUGGGGUGUUGGUGGAAAGCGUUAUGGAGUGGUUUUAGAUGGGCUCACGGCCUAUCAGCUUGUUGGUGAGGUAAUGGCUUACCAAGGCGACGACGGGUAGCCGGCCUGAGAGGGUGACCGGCCACACUGGGACUGAGACACGGCCCAGACUCCUACGGGAGGCAGCAGUGGGGAAUAUUGCACAAUGGGCGCAAGCCUGAUGCAGCGACGCCGCGUGAGGGAUGACGGCCUUCGGGUUGUAAACCUCUGUUAGCAUCGAAGAAGCGAAAGUGACGGUAGGUGCAGAGAAAGCGUCGGCUCAU